GUUGCUUCGGCGGGUAGGCCGUCCCCUGAAAAGGACGCCUCCCGGCCCGGACCGGACCCCCCGUGGGGCCGGACUCGGCGCCCGCCGGAGGAUAACCAAACGCUAUUUUAACGACGUUUCUUCUGAGUGGCAUAAGCAAAAUAAUCAAAACUUUUAACAACGGAUCUCUUGGUUCUGGCAUCGAUGAAGAACGCAGCGAAAUGCGAUAAGUAAUGUGAAUUGCAGAAUUCAGUGAAUCAUCGAAUCUUUGAACGCACAUUGCGCCCGCCAGCAUUCUGGCGGGCAUGCCUGUUCGAGCGUCAUUUCAACCCUCAAGCUCUGCUUGGUGUUGGGGCCCUACGGUCGACGUAGGCCCUCAAAGGUAGUGGCGGACCCUCCCGGAGCCUCCUUUGCGUAGUAACAUUUCGUCUCGCACUGGGAUCCGGAGGGACUCUUGCCGUAAAACCCCCCAAUUUUUCAAGGUUGACCUCGGAUCAGGUAGGAAUACCCGCUGAACUUAAGCAUAU
This 506-nucleotide ribosomal RNA is filed under the name Colletotrichum sp. GZUCCHX0401. RNAcentral describes it as "eukaryotic LSU rRNA". The stretch from base 149 to 302 matches the Rfam family "5.8S ribosomal RNA". Lineage: Eukaryota; Fungi; Ascomycota; Sordariomycetes; Glomerellales; Glomerellaceae. The record is from RNAcentral.